Molecule: unclassified non-coding RNA, 378 nt
Filed under: soil metagenome
Description: partial contains 5.8S ribosomal RNA, internal transcribed spacer 2, and large subunit ribosomal RNA
Rfam family: 5.8S ribosomal RNA (bases 3-120)
Source: RNAcentral
GCUGAAGAACGCAGCGAAGUGCGAUAAGUAAUGUGAAUUGCAGAAUUCCGUGAAUCAUCGAAUCUUUGAACGCAAAUUGCACUUUCUGGUAUUCCGGAGAGUAUGCCUGUUUGAGGGUCAGUGUAAUAAAUAAAUCGUGGUUGUUACCACCUUUCGUGGUGACGCUUCGGAAUUGAGUCCUCUUACCCUUCGGGUUAAGUGACUUAAAAUUUUUUCAUACGAUUUCGAAACGUAUUUAAUGUAUUAUGUACGUUCACGAAUAUCGAAUGUUUAUUAGGUGCGGUCAUUUUUCAUGAAUUCGCGUCUAUAAUUUUUUUUUUUUGACCUCAAAUCAGGUAAGAAUACCCGCUGAACUUAAGCAUAUCAAUAAGCGGAGGA